This 397-nucleotide ribosomal RNA is filed under the name Labyrinthulomycetes sp. Its description in RNAcentral is "partial small subunit ribosomal RNA". It matches the Rfam family "Eukaryotic small subunit ribosomal RNA", at positions 582 to 975 of the family's 1831-position model. The record is from RNAcentral. Lineage: Eukaryota; Bigyra.
AUUCCAGCUCCAAUAGCGUAUAUUAAAGUUGUUGCAGUUAAAAAGCUCGUAGUUGGAUUUCUGGUUUGAUGCCCUGGCCCGCUUCAAAUUUUGGAGUGUGUGCCGGCUGUGCGUCUGCCAUCCUUCUAGAAAACGUUCGUACCCUUCACUGGGCCGCGUUCGAGAUCUAGAUCUUUUACUUUGAAAAAAUUAGAGUGUUUAAAGCAGGCAGUUGCUAUGAAUACAUUAGCAUGGAAUAAUAAGAUAGGACUCUGGUACUAUUUUGUUGGUUUGCAUACCAAAUUAAUGAUCAACAGGAACAGUUUGAGGAUAUUCGUAUGAACAUGUCAGAGGUGAAAUUCUUGGAUUUUGAUCAGACGAACUACUGCGAAAGCAUUUAUCAAGGAUGUUUUCAUCA